Long non-coding RNA from Mesocricetus auratus (golden hamster), 3844 nucleotides. RefSeq lists it as uncharacterized. The record is from RefSeq and is a predicted model, not a curated record. The transcript has 2 exons. Lineage: Eukaryota; Metazoa; Chordata; Mammalia; Rodentia; Cricetidae.
AGUGCGGGGUGGGGGGGUGACUCCAGUCAGGGAACAAAUGGGGAGAGACACAGAAAGAGGCCGGCCGCCUGCUGGGCUUGGGAACAGCCAUGCAGUCAUGUUACCAUGUUGAAGCCAUGUGCCCAGACACCUGAGAGGAACUCUAUGAGUGGGCUGAAAGGUAUGCAGUAGGAGCCAAAUUGGUAGCUGCCCGGGGCCAACCACAAGAAGUUAAGGGCAAAGGGGAAGGAAGGCAUCUUAGGGACUUAUUGUGACACUUUUAGAGACCACGGCACCGUUAUGAAGCAGGCCAAGGGUUGAACUGCUGCCCCUGGAAGACAGGGAAGCUCUUCUCCCAGCCUCUAGGGGAGCCCGUGGGAGCAAUGACUGGCUGCAGACCAGGAGUCCAGAUGCAGGGGGCUGGCGUCUGGGGGCAUAGACACGAUAGACACGCACGUACCAGCCCUGCUUCUCUGUUUAUCGAGUCAGUUACAAGGAUCCACAGAUUGAUGUUUGGGGCCUUCGUGUGGAAUCCCACCCCCUCACUCGUAACUCCAGGGUAAUAAAAUCCUGGCUUUGUCCCUGGAAAUGUGCUGGGAGGUGACUGCUUAAUGAGUCACUGGCAGGGCAGGGAGUUCCGGUUUUUGUAUCUAUGGCUACAGGCCAUGCUCAGAAGGAUUUCUCAAAGGAGCUUAGGACUGCAUGCCAAGGGAGCCCUCAGAGAUGGCCCAGUGUGCUCUGCAGUGAGGAGGGGCCCAUGGAACCCGGCCAUCGGAUGCCCCAGGUGUGACCACACGUGAGGUUCCCUGGGGGGGGGGGUCAAGGUACAGCAAGGAAUUUGGCUCUUGUGCUACAGGGUAGCAACAUGCCGAAUUCCUCUCUUAUUAACAGUUAAGUCCAUGGACCCAGGGCUACCCCUGAACUUGGGGCUCCCCCCGUAUCCUGAGGGCCUCUGCCUCAGCACAGCCGGAGCAAGCUGUGAGACAGUGUUCCCCACAGAGGAAAUCUAGCCCUCCCGUGGGUACUAUCCAGGAGCUAGAGUGUGGAGAACAUUCUCCUUGCUCAGGCUGUGAGGACCCACCCCACAGGCCUAUCUGGGAUCCAAACAUUGGCAAAUGUCACCAAGUGCGUAAGUCAUUUUAUUUAAACAGGCAGCUUGCUGUGUUUGGAGGACUGGACUCAAGACCUGUCUUCACCCCCUCGAUGGCAAUGUGGGGAGAUGCAGACUGGCAGGGUGACUUCCUCAGAAUGAGGCAUAGCAGAGUUUUUCUGGUUCAUAAGGAGCCUCUAGCUCCACGGUAGAAUCACGGUUUUGUGCAACCCGGGCCUCCAUAGCUGGAGGCUGCAGGCCUAGCAGAGACUGCAGAGCCUGGAGCAAGAUGCCAAGUUCCUCUCUCUGAGCGAUCUAGGAAUGGGGGAUGGGGGUGGGCUGUAGAGGUAGCACAGGGGAACACAAACACAGGAAGACGUUCGUGUCCCAGUGUCCCCAGAGUUCCAGAGCCAACACAAGCUGUAGACAACUCAGAAUUCAUGCCUGCCUUGGGGACUCAGCGUUGGUCCAGCGUGUCACUAGGAUCUCAGCAUCAUCUAAGCAAGAACUUCCCAACCUCACAGAGCUGAGCAUGAAACAGACUGUGGAUGGAGAGAUGGGGUAUUUGUCUGUGUUCUGUGGGCAGACGCUGUGGAGCCCUCGGUAGAAGCCACGGGACUGACAGCAGGCACUGACGGUGGCAGGGUGGAGCUCCAGGGACUCAUGUCCAGAGCGAGCUGUCCACCUGGGUUUGAAACCUUAAUCCUGUCUGUAGCCUCCCCCAUGGCAGGGCUUGGCUCAGAGACCACUCCGUGCCACAUGGACCUGACUUGAUGUUGUCUGCUGAUGCUGGACCAGUGUAAGCCUAAGCCGAUGUGGUCCCUCAAACAUGGCCAGCUUCCAGCCUUGGCAGCAGCUUUGUCUUACCCAGAAUGCAGACUUGUGCGCGUGGUGUGUGUGUGUGUAUAUGUAUGUGUGUGUGUUAGAGAUUCCCAUGUCCUUCAUUUACUCUUAGAGCUGUGCGAGGCCGGUUCUAUGUUCUCUUUCAAGUACAGCCAGCGUCACAACAUUUAUUAGAAAACUUGUUUUUUUUUUUAUUGUUGUUUGCUUUCUUUGAGGUAGUGUCUCCUGUAUCCCAAGCUGGUCUCCAACUCCUUAUGUAGCUGAGCAUGACCUUGAAUUUCUCAUCCUCCGGCCUCUACCUCUGGUGGGCUGGGAUUACAGGGGCGUGCCACCACACCCAGUUUAUGCGAUAUUGGACGAACCUAGGGCCUUGUGCAUGCUAGGCAGAUGCUCUACCAACUGAGCCAUACCCCCCAGUACUGUUGACAUAACAGCGAAGAAAGAAUUGAACAACUGGGGCUGGAGCGAUGGCUCAGAGGUUAAGAGCACUGGCUGCUCUUCCAGAGGUCCCCAGUUCAGUUCCCAGCACCCACAUGGUGGCUCACAACCAUCUGUAAUGAGAUCUGGUGCCCUCUUCUGGUCUCCAGGCAUCCACACAGACCCAAUACUAUAUACACAAUAAGUAAAUUAAUUAAUUAAAAAAAGAAUUGAACAGCUGGAAAAGACAAGAGAAAGGCAGCGUAACCGUUUCAUACAUUAGGGAUGGGAGACGCCUAAGGCUGGAUGUCCGCUAAGCAGAUCCUGGCUUGGGUAUUUUAUAGGACCCCUGGGUUCUCCCCUUUCUCCUGUUGGUCCUGUUUAGAUACCCACCCCCAUGCCUUCCUGAUGCCUUUCCUCCAAAUGUGUUCUGGGAACAAGCAGCAGCCAUCUCCGGAAACCUACCUCCACUUUCCUAGUCUACCCGAGUCCCUCUAAAUCCACCUUACAGCGCGAGCACGUGCCAUCCUCAGCUCACGGUGGGGUCCCCUGUGCCCUUGGCUCUGUGUCUGGUCUCAGUGUUCACCCACAGGCCUCUGUGGCCUCCUGCAUGGUGACACAGGACAGGAGCUGCAUGGCAAGUCCCUUCUGCCCUUUCAGCCUUCUCUGAAAAUCUCCCACCUUUCCCCUCCCUUCUAGAAUCAGCUAUGGAGUCUCAAACCUGUUCUCCCGGGAGUUGUUGACCCUUGGGGACGACUGGGAUGUUGUCUUUGAGUGUUCAGAAGUGACUCCAUGUUGCCCCUCACUUAGGUCUUUGGUUCUGUCUUUCAUGCCGGAUCUGCCCACGUCACGGUCACGUUGUCUCCAUAGCAGAGAUUAUUCCUGAGUUAGGUGCCUUGCGUGUAAAAUCUCCCAACCUGGCAACCUAAGGGUGAAACUACAAACAAGUGCGAUCUUCCCCUGAGCGCUAGACUGAGCAGCGGCUCUGGUGCCUGGUGUUCUAGAGGGUGCCGUUCCUCCAGGCCUGAGCUGGUGAUGCACAGGGACCUCUGCAAAGCAGGCCUCCGCAGUGAACACUAGACGGGCCCAACAUCCCCCUGAGACUCAUGGGAAGGGAGCAGCCUUUGCUUCCACUGAUGGAUAGCCAGAGUGCCGUUAGGGCUCAGCCUGAAUGGAUGAUGCCAACUCUUCCAGGGAUCAUAGCAGAGCUGAGGCUAACACUGGGCUUUGGCCAUCCUCAUGGGUCCCCCAUCCAUAACUAGGAUAUUAGGCAGGGUUCUUGAGAGGAACUUAGUGGAUAAAACAUACAGACCCAGACAUACACACACACACACACACACCAUGCACAGUUCUACAUUCUCUGUGUGUGUGUGUGUGUGUGUGUGUAUGUGUGUGUGUUUGUGUACGUACCUCUGGCCUUCACACAUGCAUAUACAUACACCUGCACACAUGUAUAAGACUGCAUACACCACCCACCUUAUACACAAUAAAAUUAAUUUUAAAAUAAAAUGUAAA